AACGAACGCUGGCGGCAGGCCUAUUACAUGCAAGUCGAACGCACCGCAAGGUGAGUGGCAGACGGGUGAGUAACGCGUGGGAACCUUCCUAGUAGUACGGAAUAACUUCGGGAAACCACAGCUAAUACCGUAUACGCCCUUCGGGGGAAAGAUUUAUCGCUAUUAGAUGGGCCGGCGUAGGAUUAGCCAGUUGGUGAGGUAAUGGCUCACCAAGGCUACGAUCCUUAGCUGGUCUGAGAGGAUGACCAGCCACACUGGGACUGAGAUACGGCUCAGACUUCUACGGGAGGCAGCAGUAGGGAAGAUUGGACAAUGGGCGAAAGCCUGAUCCAGCCAUGCCGCGUGAGUGAAGAAGGCCUUAGGGUUGUAAAGCUCUUGUGGCGGGGAAGAUAAUUACGGUACCCGCAGAAUAAGCCCCGGCUAACUUCGUGCCAGCCGCCGCAGUAA
This 447-nucleotide ribosomal RNA is filed under the name uncultured bacterium. RNAcentral's name for it is "partial 16S ribosomal RNA". It matches the Rfam family "Bacterial small subunit ribosomal RNA", at positions 29 to 523 of the family's 1533-position model. The record is from RNAcentral.